GAGAUAUAUGUGGGUGCCUUUUACAAUUUUUCCAGUUCUGUGUUGUGGUUCGCCAGCGGCAGCAGAGUCGGACAGUGAGGAGGCUGGGGAGGAACAUGGGCCAGUCCUGGAGUCCGGGGACAGCUCGGACGAGGGCUCUGCGUCAGAGGCAGAGAGGGGGCCAAGGCCAUCUGGGAGUUAUGUGCUGCCUUCGGAGCCUCCAGAGACGGACAUCAGAGAGGCAGAGGAACAGGAGGAGCCUGUUCCUAAUGUGCGCAUGUGCAGAGCUGCAAGACGGCAAGAACAAUUAAGACAAAAGGGACAACUCGGGAGUAAGGCUUGGAGAUGAUUGCCCUCCCAUAAGACAUAAAGCAGAUUUUGCAUGGCUUGUCCAGGGUGCUGAAUGCUUCACCCGUGAACAAUGCACCUUACACCGUUGGGUUGGCAGAAGUCAAAUCUUCCGUCCGUGGGAAAAGGAUUUUUAUGAACAGAGCCACCUGGGUAAAGCUUCCCGCUGCAUUAGGAGACCUUCCUCGCAGGAUUCGCCCGGAGGCAGAUCAAAAUCCGGGAAAGAUGCCAUAAGAGGGAUCGUAAAAAAAAUAAAAUAAAAAUAAAAUGCGAUCCUUAUCGCCCCCGUCAUCGCUGAUAA
Long non-coding RNA from Pantherophis guttatus, 628 nucleotides. RefSeq lists it as uncharacterized. Lineage: Eukaryota; Metazoa; Chordata; Lepidosauria; Squamata; Colubridae. The record is from RefSeq and is a predicted model, not a curated record.